This 127-nucleotide small nuclear RNA is filed under the name Peromyscus maniculatus bairdii (prairie deer mouse). RNAcentral's name for it is "U1 spliceosomal RNA (ENSPEMG00000006409.2)". The record is from RNAcentral. Lineage: Eukaryota; Metazoa; Chordata; Mammalia; Rodentia; Cricetidae.
ACACACACACGGCAGGAAAAAUACCACAAUUAUGAAGGUGGUUUUCCAGUGUCUUGUCUAUUGGACUCUGAUGACCACUGCAAAUGAAGAAAACUAAACUGUAUAAUUUAUGGUAAUGAGAGUCUAC